UUUGGGUUUUACUUUUUACAGCUUCUUUUUGUUUCUUUUUGUUUAGAAAAUUUGUCUGUAAUUCUAGAAUAACAGAAUGGAAACUAUGGAAGUCUGAUGGACGUAAUCUUUGGAGUGUACUCAUUACUCAAAUGUACAGAUAAUCGGAAUGAAUCUUGUACUUACCCCAAAAACUUGAAUACAAGAUUUCUCAUACAAUGAAAACUUGGUUUUACAAAAAAACAUCAACAAUGAGCUGUAUACAAGAAGCUUACAUGAAUCUUUGUAGGGGGAUUCUCACUGAGCCACUUCACUGAAUACUUCAGGGUGCAGUAAUAACAAAAAAAAAAAAAAAGGCUUGGAAAGAGCAUGAGCUCUUGGCACUGAUUUCUGCAGGCGAAUGUGACCUGCCUUCUCCUUCUGCAACUAACAGGGUGACCAGAGGCAGUGGAAUGUACACCAGGACUGGAAAGAAUAGAUCCAGAGGGAAAGCAAGCUGUCAAGAGAACAGUGUACUGAAGAUGAAAAAUGAAAAUGGAAGAGUCAAAACACAAAAUCAACGUUAUACUCCAUAUCCCAUGAAUAACACASUUCCAGCCUAUAAAAACACAAAGCAGCCACUAUAACUACAUACAUUUUCUUGAAAAGAAGUAUAAGCGAAUCUGUACUCACAUC
Molecule: long non-coding RNA, 654 nt
Filed under: Zosterops lateralis melanops
Lineage: Eukaryota; Metazoa; Chordata; Aves; Passeriformes; Zosteropidae
Description: lncRNA (ENSZLMG00000014040.1)
Source: RNAcentral